AUAUUCCCGUACCCGCUUCAAUGCGCCCAUAUCGAACCUCGUGAUGCUAAGAGUCCUUAAGUCCUCUGAUGUCCUUCGGGACUAGGGGUGAGGCUGAACGCUCGAUCCGAUCGGGUAGUAGGUAAGCGAUGGGGUGACGCAGGAAGGUAGUCCAGCCCAGGCGAUGGUUGUCCUGGGGUAAGCAUGUAGGGCGGAACGUAGGUAAAUCCGCGUUCUAUUCAGCCUGAGAUGUGAUGCCGAGCCGAUUGUGGUGAAGUGGAUGAUCCUAUGCUGCCGAGAAAAGCCUCUAGUGAGUGUUGUGGCGGCCCGUACCCUAAACCGACUCAGGUGGUCAGGUAGAGAAUACCAAGGCGAUCGGGUGAACUGUGGUUAAGGAACUCGGCAAAUUGCCCCCGUAACUUCGGGAGAAGGGGGACCUCUGCUGGUGAUGGGCUUUACGUUCUGAGCUGGUGGGGGUCGCAGUGGCCAGGGGGAAGCGACUGUUUACUAAAAACACAGGUCCGUGCGAAGUCGUAAGACGAUGUAUACGGACUGACGCCUGCCCGGUGCCGGAACGUUAAGGGGACCGCUUAGCCAACGCGAGUUGGCGAAGGUGAGAACUUAAGCGCCGGUAAACGGCGGUGGUAACUAUAACCAUCCUAAGGUAGCGAAAUUCCUUGUCGGGUAAGUUCCGACCUGCACGAAUGGCGUAACGACUUCCCCGCUGUCUCAACCACAGACCCGGCGAAAUUGCACUACGAGUAAAGAUGCUCGUUUCGCGCAGCAGGACGGAAAGACCCCGGGACCUUCACUACAGCUUGACAUUGGCGUUUGGAACGUCUUGUGUAGGAUAGGUGGAGACUGGGAAGCUGUCACGCUAGUGAUGGUGGAGUCAUUGGUGAAAUACCACUCUGGUCGUUUUGAACGUCUAACUCUGGUCCGUGAUCCGGAUCGGGGACAGUGUCUGGUGGGUAGUUUAACUGGGGCGGUUGCCUCCUAAAGAGUAACGGAGGCGCCCAAAGGUUCCCUCAGCCUGGUUGGCAAUCAGGUGUUGAGUGUAAGUGCACAAGGGAGCUUGACUGUGAGACUGACAGGUCGAGCAGGAGCGAAAGCUGGGACUAGUGAUCCGGCAUCGGCGUGUGGAAGCGGUGUCGCUCAACGGCUAAAAGGUACCCCGGGGAUAACAGGCUGAUCUUCCCCAAGAGUCCAUAUCGACGGGAUGGUUUGGCACCUCGAUGUCGGCUCGUCGCAUCCUGGGGCUGGAGUAAGUCCCAAGGGUUGGGCUGUUCGCCCAUUAAAGCGGUACGCGAGCUGGGUUUAGAACGUCGCGAGACAGUUCGGUCCCUAUCCGCUGCGCGCGCAGGAGACUUGAAGGGGGCUGUCCCUAGUACGAGAGGACCGGGACGGACGAACCUCUGGUGUGCCAGUUGUACCGCCAGGUGCACGGCUGGUUGGCUACGUUCGGAAGGGAUAACCGCUGAAAGCAUCUAAGCGGGAAGCUCGCCUUGAGAUGAGGUCUCCCACCCCGUGAGGGGGUAAGGCUCCCGGUAGAUCACCGGGUUGAUAGGCCGGAGGUGGAAGCACGGUAACGUGUGGAGCUGACCGGUACUAAUAGGCCGAGGACUUGACC
Molecule: ribosomal RNA, 1609 nt
Filed under: metagenome
Description: bacterial LSU rRNA
Rfam family: Bacterial large subunit ribosomal RNA
Source: RNAcentral